AUUGAACGCUGGCGGCAUGCCUUACACAUGCAAGUCGAACGGUAACGCGGGGCAACCUGGCGACGAGUGGCGAACGGGUGAGUAAUGCAUCGGAACGUGCCCAGUUGUGGGGGAUAACUGCUCGAAAGAGCAGCUAAUACCGCAUACGACCUGAGGGUGAAAGCGGGGAUCGCAAGACCUCGCGCAAUUGGAGCGGCCGAUGUCGGAUUAGCUAGUUGGUGGGGUAAAGGCCCACCAAGGCGACGAUCCGUAGCUGGUCUGAGAGGACGAUCAGCCACACUGGAACUGAGAUACGGUCCAGACUCCUACGGGAGGCAGCAGUGGGGAAUAUUGGACAAUGGGCGAAAGCCUGAUCCAGCAAUGCCGCGUGAGUGAAGAAGGCCU
This 384-nucleotide ribosomal RNA is filed under the name uncultured bacterium. Its description in RNAcentral is "bacterial SSU rRNA". It matches the Rfam family "Bacterial small subunit ribosomal RNA", at positions 29 to 417 of the family's 1533-position model. The record is from RNAcentral.